GUGGAUACCAGGAUUGCACCAACUGGCAUGUUCAACCUCCACCCAAACACUGGAAGACUGAAAUAAACUACAAAAUUAUAAAUGAAGAACAAGCGGGUUUCCUUGGGGACAUCCACAAUACACCAGAGUCUCCCAUGUACAAUGUAUUCAGAAGUGAUUUUGCAGUCCCUUCUUCUGGAAGCACUUGUGGGAUGCUACAGCUCGCCCCAGGUUGUACAUGUUGGCUCUUCUUCUCAGAGACACAAGGACGAUCUGAAUUUACAGCCUCUGGCUCCAUGCCCAGAUACCUGAUUACACU
Pogona vitticeps (central bearded dragon) is the source of this 298-nucleotide long non-coding RNA. RefSeq lists it as uncharacterized. NCBI's taxonomy places the organism in Eukaryota, Metazoa, Chordata, Lepidosauria, Squamata, Agamidae. The record is from RefSeq and is a predicted model, not a curated record.